This 74-nucleotide transfer RNA is filed under the name Podarcis lilfordi (Lilford's wall lizard). It matches the Rfam family "tRNA". From Rfam's summary of the family: Transfer RNA (tRNA) molecules are approximately 80 nucleotides in length. Lineage: Eukaryota; Metazoa; Chordata; Lepidosauria; Squamata; Lacertidae. The record is from Rfam by way of RNAcentral.
GCCUGGAUAGCUCAGCUGGUUAGAGCGUGGUGCUGAUAAUGCAAAGGUUGCAGGUUCGAUCCCUGUAUGGGGCA